Molecule: ribosomal RNA, 1362 nt
Filed under: metagenome
Description: bacterial LSU rRNA
Rfam family: Bacterial large subunit ribosomal RNA
Source: RNAcentral
CCAAAUAUUCCUGAACCGGAUGGUAGUGACGGCGUUCAUAAAUUGUACAGACUGAUUGGAUUGGACUGUGCAGUGAAGAGCGUCCAGGAAAUAACUCCAUCAUUAGGACCGUACCCUAAACCGACACAGGUGGACGCGUUGAGUAUACGAAGGCGCUUGAGAGAAUGAUGCUGAAGGAACUCUGCAAAAUGCCCUCGUAACUUCGGGAGAAGAGGGACCAUGCUGAAGGCAACUUUGGUGUGGUGGCACAGAAAUGGGGGUGGCGACUGUUUAGCAAAAACACAGGACUCUGCAAACACGAGAGUGGACGUAUAGGGUCUGACGCCUGCCCGGUGCCGGAAGGUUAAGAGGAGGAGUGCAAGCUUUGAAUUGAAGCCCCGGUGAACGGCGGCCGUAACUAUAACGGUCCUAAGGUAGCGAAAUUCCUUAUCGGGUAAGUUCCGACCUGCACGAAUGGCGUAACGACUUCCCCGCUGUCUCCAGCAUCAACUCAGUGAAAUUGGAUUCUCCGUGAAGAUACGGAGUACCCGCGGUUAGACGGAAAGACCCCGUGCACCUUUACUAUAGCUUUACAGUGACAUCAGGGAAAUUAUGUGUAGGAUAGGUGGGAGGCUAGGAAGCAUGUGCGCUAGCAUGUGUGGAGCCAACCUUGAAAUACCACCCUUAAUUUUUUUGGUGUCUAACCAUGCGAUACAAACGCUGGGACCCUGUAUGGUGGGUAGUUUGACUGGGGCGGUCGCCUCCGAAAGAGUAACGGAGGCGCGCAAAGGUAGGCUCAGAUCGGUCAGAAAUCGAUCGUUGAGUGCAAUGGCAAAAGCCUGCCUGACUGCAAGACAGACAAGUCGAGCAGAGACGAAAGUCGGUCAUAGUGAUCCGGUGGUUCUGCGUGGAAGGGCCAUCGCUCAACGGAUAAAAGGUACGCCGGGGAUAACAGGCUGAUCUCCCCCAAGAGUUCACAUCGACGGGGAGGUUUGGCACCUCGAUGUCGGCUCAUCGCAUCCUGGGGCUGUAGAAGGUCCCAAGGGUUUGGCUGUUCGCCAAUUAAAGCGGUACGUGAGCUGGGUUCAGAACGUCGCGAGACAGUUUGGUCCCUAUCUGCCGUGGGUUUAAGGAAUAUUGCGAGGACUUGUCUUUAGUACGAGAGGACCGAGAUGAACAUACCUCUGGUGUACCAGUUGUCACGCCCGUGGCAUCGCUGAGUAGCUACAGUAUGGACGAGAUAAACGCUGAAAGCAUCUAAGCGUGAAGCUCCCCUUUAAAUAUAAUCCCUAUGAGGCUCGUGGUAGACCACCACGUUGAUAGGUGAGAUGUGUACGCAUGGUAACAUGUUUAGCUAACUCAUACUAAUGUCCCAUUGCUCUA